UCGUCGAGUUUUCUAAACUUUUCGGCACAACUAACGUGAAAAAUGUUUUUUUCGCUGCAUUUAAGAUGCAUGGCUGAUCCGGGCUCGAAUUUAUUUUCGGUCUCGGCGCAGGCCAGGGGCCUGUUGAUGACGGUGGGAAUCGAGGAUAGCGUGUCAAAGCGUUAUCUUCCUCGCCGGCCGACAGGCACUCUGAGCAUAAAUGUUAGUACCCGAAAGAUGGUGAUCUAUGCUUGUCUAGAACGAAGCUGGGGGAAACUCUGGUGGAAGUUCGUAGCGGUUCUGACGUGCAAAUCGAUCGUCGGAGUUGAGUAUAGGGGCGAAAGACCAAUCGAACCAUCUAGUAGCUGGUUCCCUCCGAAGUUUCCCUCAGGAUAGCUGGCUCGGAGGUUAAAGUAGUUUCACCCGGUAAAGAGAAUGAUCAGGGGUACCUGGGGCUCAAAUGUCCUCAGCCCGUCCUCAAACUCUAAAUGGGUGAGACGUCGGGCUUGCUUAAACAGAAGCCACGGCAUAGAAUAUAUCGAGCCUAGUGGGCCAUUUUUGGUAAGCAGAACUGGCGAUGUGGGAUGAACCAAACGUUCGAGCUAAGGGGCCAAAAUGUCGGUCAAUUAGAUACCGUUAAAGGCGUUGGUCGCUCACGACAGCAGGUCGGUGGCCCUGGAAGUCGGCA
This 667-nucleotide ribosomal RNA is filed under the name Cumella sp. 200912-8. RNAcentral describes it as "partial large subunit ribosomal RNA". It matches the Rfam family "Eukaryotic large subunit ribosomal RNA", at positions 691 to 1266 of the family's 3401-position model. Lineage: Eukaryota; Metazoa; Arthropoda; Malacostraca; Cumacea; Nannastacidae. The record is from RNAcentral.